Molecule: transfer RNA, 60 nt
Filed under: Dendrobaena tellermanica
Lineage: Eukaryota; Metazoa; Annelida; Clitellata; Crassiclitellata; Lumbricidae
Description: tRNA-Asn
Source: RNAcentral
UAAGUGGAAGCCAAAGGCACCUAUUUGUUAAUUAGGCCCGUGCUAAACUAGCCCACUUAG